GGGGACGUGGUGAAAUCGGUAGACACAACGGACUUAAAAUCCGUUGACUUUAAACAGUCGUGAGGGUUCGAUUCCCUCCGUCCCCA
This 86-nucleotide transfer RNA is filed under the name Olisthodiscus luteus. RNAcentral's name for it is "tRNA-Leu". It matches the Rfam family "tRNA". Rfam says of the family: Transfer RNA (tRNA) molecules are approximately 80 nucleotides in length. Their secondary structure includes four short double-helical elements and three loops (D, anti-codon, and T loops). Lineage: Eukaryota; Olisthodiscophyceae; Olisthodiscaceae. The record is from RNAcentral.